This 161-nucleotide ribosomal RNA is filed under the name uncultured bacterium. RNAcentral describes it as "partial 16S ribosomal RNA". It matches the Rfam family "Bacterial small subunit ribosomal RNA", at positions 355 to 507 of the family's 1533-position model. The record is from RNAcentral.
UAGGGAAUCUUCCGCAAUGGACGAAAGUCUGACGGAGCAACGCCGCGUGAGUGAUGAAGGUUUUCGGAUCGUAAAGCUCUGUUGUUAGGGAAGAAUAAGUGUUAUUCAAAUAGGAUAGCACCUUGACGGUACCUAACCAGAAAGCCACGGCUAACUACGUG